GCACAUGUACCUGCCCCCCAUCCGCCGCAUCCCCGGCGACCGCUGCAGAAGGAGCGAGAACCUUCUCCACGGCGACCGCGUCGACGUCACCGGCCACGGUAAGCGGAAGAAGAUCAGGGACGGCCUACCCCAGCUCCUCCCGCUGCAACGCCAAGGAGAGGCCGGCCGGCCGGACCUGGCCGACCACCACGCGAAAAGGGCUCCACCAGGAGGAGCUCUUCCGCCCACAAAAUAUUUGCAGGAACCUUAUGGAGCCUACCAAAGCCGAGAAGAAAGAGAUGGUGCCACGGUGGCUCUCGGUGACCUUGGCCGGCGGGAGGGGCGCAAAAGCUUACAACGGUUGCAGGGAUGCCGGCUUAGAGGCACGAUGGGAGACCUUUAGUUGUAGCUGCUAAGUCCCAAGUUUCAUCAAUAAAGAUCGAUGGGUUCAAGCAGGAUAGCUGGUGGUGGUUAUUGUUGCAACAAAUAGAAAAGAAGACCUUAUCAGUGCACCCCAUGCCCACGAUGAUUCAUUGCUGCUGCUGCACCACAAACCCAAGAGGAGCAGGUCAGGGUCAAAGAAAGGAACAGAAAAUAGAAACAAGAAAGACAAAAGAGAAGAGAUGGGGAUUGUACAAAACUUCCUCGAGCUCUCCAUCAAUUUAUGUCUCGUGCAGCCAUGGAGUCUGCAGAAGCUGAGAAGCAAGAGACAAAUGGCGGUAGAAGACCAUGUUGC
Long non-coding RNA from Lolium rigidum, 715 nucleotides. RefSeq lists it as uncharacterized. The transcript is spliced from 6 exons. The record is from RefSeq and is a predicted model, not a curated record. Lineage: Eukaryota; Viridiplantae; Streptophyta; Magnoliopsida; Poales; Poaceae.